This 253-nucleotide ribosomal RNA is filed under the name uncultured bacterium. RNAcentral describes it as "partial 16S ribosomal RNA". It matches the Rfam family "Bacterial small subunit ribosomal RNA", at positions 524 to 776 of the family's 1533-position model. The record is from RNAcentral.
UACGAAGGGGGCUAGCGUUGUUCGGAAUUACUGGGCGUAAAGCGCACGUAGGCGGGUUGUUAAGUCAGGGGUGAAAUCCCGGGGCUCAACCCCGGAACUGCCCUUGAAACUGCAGUGCUAGAAUCUUGGAGAGGCGAGUGGAAUUCCGAGUGUAGAGGUGAAAUUCGUAGAUAUUCGGAAGAACACCAGUGGCGAAGGCGACUCGCUGGACAAGUAUUGACGCUGAGGUGCGAAAGCGUGGGGAGCAAACAGG